Molecule: ribosomal RNA, 800 nt
Filed under: marine metagenome
Description: bacterial SSU rRNA
Rfam family: Bacterial small subunit ribosomal RNA
Source: RNAcentral
AGAGUUUGAUUAUGGCUCAGAACGAACGCUUGCUGCAUGCUUUAUACAUGCAAGUCGAACGGAGGCCCUAGCUUGCUAGGUGUCCUUAGUGGCGCACGGGUGAGUAACACGUGGGAACAUACCUUAUAGUACGGAAUAACUGCGGGAAACUGUAGCUAAUACCGUAUAUUCCAGCAAUGGGAAAGAUUUAUCGCUAUAAGAUUGGCCCGCGCAAGAUUAGCUUGUUGGUGAGGUAAAAGCUCACCAAGGCUUCGAUCUUUAGCUGGUUUGAGAGGACGAUCAGCCACACUGGGACUGAGACACGGCCCAGACUCCUACGGGAGGCAGCAGUAGGGAAUAUUGGACAAUGGGGGCAACCCUGAUCCAGCAAUGCAGCGUGAGUGACGAAGGCCUUAGGGUUGUAAAACUCUUUCAUCGGUGAGGAUAAUGACAGUAGCCGAAGAAGAAGGACCGGCUAAUUCCGUGCCAGCAGCCGCGGUAAUACGGAAGGUCCUAGCGUUGUUCGGAAUUACUGGGCGUAAAGCGCAUGUAGGCGGAACAGAAAGUUAGAAGUGAAAUCCCUGGGCUCAACCUAGGAAUUGCUUUUAAAACUUCUGUUCUGGAAUUCAGGAGAGGAAAAUGGAAUUUCCAGUGUAGAGGUGAAAUUCGUAGAUAUUGGAAGGAACACCAGUGGCGAAGGCGAUUUUCUGGACUGAUAUUGACGCUGAGAUGCGAAGGCAUGGGUAGCAAACGGGAUUAGAUACCCCGGUAGUCCAUGCAGUAAACGAUGGGUGCUAGUCGUCGGACUUUUGUUCGGUGUC